UAAUGCACCAAUUCGUUAAGCAAAUAUUCUAGGACAAUUAAGAAAACAACUAUGACACACAAUGUUGUGGGAGAAGGGUUGUCGAGGAGAAAUGCUCCGAUUAUACUUUAAACUGUGGCCAAAGUGUCGCCCCACAGACUCACUAUUACAGCAAUAUGAUUAUGAUAUAAUUAUAUGUCCUCAGGGGGUUGUGGUUCCCCCAUGUUGGACUUUACCCAAGGGGUAGUAGAUCCCCGAGAUGGGCAUCUUAAAUGUCCAAGGGGUAGUAGAUCCCCGUGAUGGUCAUUGUUUACUUUAAUGUCCAAGGGGUAGUAGAUCCCCGUGAUGGUCAUUGUUUACUUUAAUGUCCAAGGGGUAGUAAAUCCCCGUGAUGGUCAUUGUUUACUUUAAUGUCCAAGGGGUAGUAGAUCCCCGUGAUGGUCAUUGUUUACUUUAAUGUCCAAGGGGUAGUAGAUCCCCGUGAUGGUCAUUGUUUACUUUACAAUACACUGUAUAAUACAUUGAUUUGUGUGAGUCUAUGGGGUUGAGGGUGACCUUUGGGAGCACUCCAUCCCCACAAAUACACAGCAUGUGUAUUCCCCAUAGACGAAAAAACCCAACUCCCACCACAACUGUAAUCGUAUAGAAGACAGCUUCUGACAGAUGAUCUUUGUGCUUUUCGAAGACAUAUCGUCUAUAUUUCUCUUUCGACACACUUUAAAUAAUUAAUUGAUUAAAAUCAUGUUAUAUGCAAAUAGAAUUUUUUUUUUUUUUUUUUGAAACUACAAGUUGAUCGUAAGACAUAUAUUUGAGCAUUACCAUCACUCAUACUACAGCUGGAACAUCAGGGAGGCCAGGAAAAACCUGCAAUAUCUUUACAGGAAACCUGGAUGGGGCCAAGACAACCAGCAGCUUCCCCACAAAGCUUCUAUCUUACAAGUGCGUGAUUGGAGGGUUGGUAACACGACAAACAAAGCUCACCAUCAUUUUUGGGGUUUUUUUUUACGAUUUAUUUAUUUUUAAUGUCAAUGUGCUCGUUGACAAUUUUGCAACAUGUAUUUGUUAACUCCACUUAUUUUAUUUAUUUGAAUUAUGAUUGGUGGAACUUGACAUAAUAUAAUUCUCGAAUUAUGUAUGUGACUC
Non-coding RNA from Paramuricea clavata, 1122 nucleotides. NCBI's taxonomy places the organism in Eukaryota, Metazoa, Cnidaria, Anthozoa, Malacalcyonacea, Plexauridae. The record is from the annotation of a GenBank genome assembly.